This is a small nuclear RNA of Myotis daubentonii (Daubenton's bat), 105 nucleotides long. NCBI's taxonomy places the organism in Eukaryota, Metazoa, Chordata, Mammalia, Chiroptera, Vespertilionidae. The record is from RefSeq and is a predicted model, not a curated record.
AUAAAUAAAUUAUAAAAAAAAAAAAAUUGGAGGGAUACCGAGAAGAGGUAAGCAUGGGCCCUGUACAAGAAGGACACUCAAAUUCAUGAAGUGUUUCAGAUUUUU